CAAAGCACACCUGCUGGUGUAAUGAGUGCAGUGCUGAGGAAUGCUUGGGAAGAUGUUGAAUUCUCCUCUCUUCCUCUCUUCUAGUCGCAGGAACCAAACCCUGGGUGCAGUGGAUGAAGAAAUGGACCUGUCUCCCCAAAGUCUGCUGAGUCUGUGUGAACAAGCAAAGAGGUGCUGACAACAACCUAGGCCUCUGGCUACUGUUUCCCGGCCACAUGUCUCAGUUUCCAGCAUCAUGUCAUUAAACUCCUGCCAAAUCAGAGAAAGACUGAGGUACAGUUGGGAAGGCUCUGGAAGGUGUAUGUGCUCCCUGAAGUCCAUCCCCUUGCCAAAAG
Molecule: long non-coding RNA, 335 nt
Organism: Chiroxiphia lanceolata (lance-tailed manakin)
Lineage: Eukaryota; Metazoa; Chordata; Aves; Passeriformes; Pipridae
Exons: 3
Source: RefSeq, a predicted model, not a curated record